CCUACGGGAGGCAGCAGUGAGGAAUAUUGGUCAAUGGACGAGAGUCUGAACCAGCCAAGUAGCGUGAAGGAUGACUGCCCUAUGGGUUGUAAACUUCUUUUAUAUGGGAAUAAAAUGUUCCACGUGUGGGAUUUUGUAUGUACCAUAUGAAUAAGGAUCGGCUAAAUCCGUGCCAGCAGCCGCGGUAAUACGGAGGAUCCGAGCGUUAUCCGGAUUUAUUGGGUUUAAAGGGAGCGUAGGUGGAUUGUUAAGUCAGUUGUGAAAGUUUGCGGCUCAACCGUAGAAUUGCAGUUGAAACUGGCAGUCUUGAGUACAGUAGAGGUGGGCGGAAUUCGUGGUGUAGCGGUGAAAUGCUUAGAUAUCACGAAGAACUCCGAUUGCGAAGGCAGUUCACUGGACUGCAACUGACACUGAGGCUCGAAAGUGUGGGUAUCAAACAGGAUUAGAUACCCUAGUAGUC
RNAcentral lists this ribosomal RNA (460 nucleotides) under uncultured bacterium. RNAcentral's name for it is "partial 16S ribosomal RNA". It matches the Rfam family "Bacterial small subunit ribosomal RNA", at positions 338 to 795 of the family's 1533-position model. The record is from RNAcentral.